RNAcentral lists this long non-coding RNA (439 nucleotides) under Monodelphis domestica (gray short-tailed opossum). RNAcentral's name for it is "lncRNA (ENSMODG00000037953.1)". The record is from RNAcentral. Lineage: Eukaryota; Metazoa; Chordata; Mammalia; Didelphimorphia; Didelphidae.
UAAGGCUUUCUUUACCUACUUCACAAGAGCACGAUAAAGAAUUCACUUUGAAGCCUAGAGAUGUAAGCUCUCUUCUGAUCUUUCAGAUGGGACUGCCUGGAAGGAUCAAACUCCUUAAGAAUGAGAGCUGUUUAAAAAUGGAAAAUCCCAUCCCCCUCCAGAGUUCUGGAAAGAUGUCAAGAAAGCAGAUUUUAGCUUAACAAAAGGAAAAACUAACUGGAGAAGCCCUUGAUGACCAUGGAGUUUCAGGUAAAUUCCUGCUUUGUCCUUGGGCAAUUAGCUGAGGCUUGAUGGCUGCAGACAGACUUUAUACUCUUGCUUCUGCUUUGGUCAAAGCCCCAAAUGCCAGGCAGGCAUCCUUUAGCUGAAGAGGAGCCAUGGCGGAUGGAAUUGAAGAAGACUUCAUGGAAGAAGGGACACCUGAGCUGAAAUCAGAAGG